RNAcentral lists this ribosomal RNA (301 nucleotides) under uncultured bacterium. RNAcentral describes it as "partial 16S ribosomal RNA". It matches the Rfam family "Bacterial small subunit ribosomal RNA", at positions 509 to 807 of the family's 1533-position model. The record is from RNAcentral.
CAGCCGCCACGGUAAUGCGUAGGGUGCGAGCGUUAAUCGGAAUUACUGGGCGUAAAGCGUGCGCAGGCGGUUCGUUAAGACAGAUGUGAAAGCCCCGGGCUCAACCCGGGAAGUGCACUCGAUACUGCUGGACUGGAGUGUGGGAGAGGUUGGUGGAAUUCUCGGUGUAGAGGUGAAAUUCGUAGAUAUCGAGAGGAACACCGGCGGCGAAGGCGGCUCACUGGUCCAUUACUGACGCUGAGGUGCGAAAGCGUGGGGAGCAAACAGGAUUAGAUACCCCCGUAGUCCCUGUCUCUUAUAC